Molecule: non-coding RNA, 1781 nt
Organism: Camellia sinensis
Lineage: Eukaryota; Viridiplantae; Streptophyta; Magnoliopsida; Ericales; Theaceae
Source: RefSeq, a predicted model, not a curated record
UCUGUGAAUGGUGCAACUGACAUGGCAAGUAAGACAGUGACUUUUGAUACCACUGAAAAUUGUCUUGCUGAUUCAGGUGUGGCCCAUGAUAAUCAAGAGUGUGAAAACAAAAAUAUUAAGGAUUUUGAGGCUUCUGACAAGGGUGCUCUUGAACUUUGUGGACAGCAUACUGUGAAGGAGAUUAAUGAACAAGAAAAUGCUUAUUCUUGGUCUGAUAAUGUACCUUCCUAUGAGAACUCCAAGUUGAAUCACCACAGUACUUGCGAGGGGGAAAGAAAGUCAUCUUCUGUUUCCCAGUCUGGGUCUGAUGCAAAUUGUGAGGGGAAAACUCUUCAGGCUUCAGAUGGUGAAGAUAAAGAAGGUGCUGAUUGCAAGUUAAAUGGAGAAAUUAAUGCUGUUAACCAUGCUUGCCAUACUCUUGAUGAGGGCUCUGUGCACAAUUCUACUGAAAUUCUUACUCAAACUCAUGAUGCCAAUCAUGUACCUAUAUUAAAAGUUUCUGGUGAGAAUUUUACUAGUCAGGAUUCAGUGGCUACAAAUCUGGAAACAGCACAAAAUGUUGCAAAUGAUUGUGAUGCAAAUUUCCCUGAUGAUAGUACCCCUAUUUCUUUCUGUCCAGAGGAUAUUCCUGGAAGUCAUGAACCAGACGUAGAUGCUUCAGUUCACAAUAAUUGCUUUCCUUCUGGUGGGAAUAUCAAUAAUGCAUCUUUUCGGAAUUCUCAGACUUCUUAUAUGAGUGAUGGACUCAGCAAGUCCUCUGAGGUUCAAUCAGUUGUUGAUAAUAAUGUUACUUGUGUGGUAAAAACAUCAGCUUUGAAUGAUCCUGUUGGGAUGGGCCAAACUUCUUGUGUGGUUACAGGGAAUGAAAUCCACCACCUUAAACAAGAAUUUACUGCUGCUCAAACUGACUCCCAUUUGGUUGCGGAUUCUCUUCUCAACGGUCCUCACAUGAGUGCCAACAGUACCAAGCAAUCCAAAUCUGGUUCUCAGGUUGACCAGACAAGCGUUGCAGUGUGUGAAGUUGAGCCCUUGUAUAAAUCAAGCUCCAGUUCUGGUCCAACUCUCCUCUGUACCUCUAGCAGUUGCAAUGAAUCUGCUAUUCCUAAGGUAGCAUCACGUAGGAUGUUGAGGAGUGGUAAGCUAUGCUAAUUUCAUCUAGCUUGAUGCAUGGACCUCCAGGGUUGAAAAGCAUGUUUGUCGUAAAGAUACAAUUAUUUCUGUUUGAGGCCAUGCUCAAAGGGGAAUCUGCCUUGUUUGGGGAUAGGAACUAUGUAAAUAAUGAAUUUGUGUGAGUAUUUUGUAGUGCAGUUCGUAGAAGAAUAUUAAGAAAAGAAAGAUUUAAGUUUCAACAAUCUAACUAAUAGAUUGUUCCUUUCUGUGACAAAUGUGAAUAUUUUAACUUGAAAGGCAACGGAGAUAAUUUCUUUUUGAGGAAUAUCGCGUCUCUGAUUCCAGUGUCAUGUACAAAUUCACAGGAGCAUUUUUGCAGUACAUAUAUAUAGGGUGAUCGAAUCUCUUGACUUGGGAAGCCGGUGCAUCAUUUCAAGGGGGUUAAAGCUGGAGCUAGUGAUAAUGUUAGGGUUUUGUAAUUUCUUUAUCUUUGUGCUGUUGACGAUGUUUCAGACUUCGCUAUAAAAUUUUAAUGAUGUAGAUCUUCAAUAAUUAUAACUUAAUAGUUUUAUCCUGCUCUGUGCUCAUUGUAAAUGGUACCAACAAUUGUUUUGCUCAAUUUUAGGUUAUUUCCCUCUUUAUAUAUAGGGUAUCUGGGAACGUUUGGAAUA